AAAUAAUGGUUAGAUCAGAUGUUCAUUUCUCAAAUAUUAAUUAACCUCAAUGGAAUAAUAAAUUAAAUAUAAAUGAAAUUAUUUCAAAAAUUAAGAUUUGCAAGUAAGAAUUCAAUAUUUUGGAGCUAUCUCCAUUAAAUAUGUUUAAUUUUCGAAUAGAACAAGAUUAUAUUAAGGUUAGGUUCAUUUUUGGAAUUAGGGUUUGUUAUUGGGCUAUAGCAAUAACUCUGUUCUAUUUAUGACUUAUAACUGUAGUUUUAAUUCUUGUAUUAUUCAUCAUUAACACUAAAUUCGUAGUAGUAAACAUAAUUUGAUUAUAUUUUCAUGAUAUUUUAACGGGAAGGAAAAGCAAUGCUGAAAAUCAGACUAAGAUAUUUUUUAUAUGGGAAAUUCGAAGGCUUGCACUCAAAACGUGUUUACAAAUUUGUCAUUAUUAUUUGAUAGAAUGUAUAAUAAAAAACGUUGAUGGGGGCAGUUACAAGUUAAACAUUUAAUUUAUCAGGUUAAUGUUUAUUCUGGAACAGCACAUCUAAAGGACCUAGAGCAACUGUUUCAGGCAAAUUAAAGUUAUUGAUCAAGUUAUGGAAGACACUUCAAUGUUACCAUCGACGAACAUGAAAUCUGAGAAGUCUCGGCUGGAUCCAUCUUGAAUCACAAUCCAUUUAAAAGCAAAUAUGAAACUUGAGCUGACAACUCUUUAAUUGAAAAACGUCAAUUUGAAGAGUACCUGAUGCCUCCAAUGUUAAAGCAGCCAAUGAUUCCAUAUAAAAGUGUUAGGAUGGAAAGUGUCAAUUUCAUUUAUAUUCAAUCCUGAUGUUUCUUUUGUUAAAAAAAUAAAUAAAGUAUUAAAAAUGAAUAUACCAAACCAAGUGACAUUUAUAUUAGUUGGAAUAUCAUUUUAAUAUGGAAUAAAAGUUCCAAAACUGUAGCAUCUUAUUAGUAGAUUUACAUAAAUGAAAGUAAGUGUAUUAAUAAUUCGAAAAUUAUACCAACAGUUUAAUCAACUAUUAAAUCAUCAGGAGAUAAAGCAUGGUGGAAUGUGAUUAUGGAUUAGAUUUUCUGAUUCAUUUAGUAUCAAACUGAAAACAAAAUUUCGAAAUGGAAGAUCUUGGUGCAUUGCUUACUUGUGAUGGACUGUUAUGGAUUUCACUUGAGUGGAUUUUUUUUGCAAAACUACUAGGAAACGUAUAAAUGAUUGGUAUUUUUUUUAUAUUGAUAAAAAUAAUUUCAGAAAUAAAAUAAUGUGACCCUCUGUUAAAUAACAAAAAUUCUUUCAUCUUUUAGUUGUAAACAACUAAUAAAAUCAGGUAUUGAAACUGUUUCUUAAUUUCCACGCAUGUGUCUAAAUCAAACGGCAAAACGUCGGAGCAAACGGUGGAAAUGAGUUGUCGAGGUGUCGAAAUUUGCUUAGGGGUAUCGUAAGAUACCAAAAUUUCAUCCCCUAUGACUAUUCGAAAUAUACCUCUGUGUGUGGAUGUACCUCGUAUGAAGGAAAUUCUAAAAUCAGUUAUUAAAAUUUUUUAUUCAAAUUUUUCUGAAAUUUUCGGUCCGAAUUAUUGCAUCAAAUUUUGAUUGAAAUGAUUUUUUUUGUUAUUUAUUGAGUGAGCAGAACUUUGAUCAUUUGCUGUUGGUUUUUGUACUUUUGUGAAUUCUAGGAAUAUUUUAUUGAGAUUAAUAUAGUUACAGAUAUUAAUUAAUGAAGAAAAAUAGUUUGAAUUAAUUUUUGAAUAACAUUUUUAACAUUCAGAAAGUUUUAACAAACAUUCAAUUAAACUCACAAAACAAUGUUUUCAAAAUCUUAUCUGGUUAUCGAGAAUUUACAAGAGGUAUGAUAUAUUUGAAAAACAACACGUGCGGUGCUGAUCUAGAACACUUUUUAUCAGUUUGUAGGUAGAAUAGUUUGUUUACAUUAUAUCGAGGGUUUAAUACAGAUAAAGAAAAAUGACCAUGCAUUCCCUUCUUGGAUGCCUUUGUCUUUGUUCGAAGAAUUAUGUGUUUACAUUUCAAUCUUAUUUUUGGCAUUUAUGAGAUUAUGUUUAACAGAAUUCUUAAAUAGAUAAGGACCACCCUACACUAUGAGAAAUUUUAAAAUCACUGUAUUCUAGAUGAAUAAUCAAUGGUAAUACUAAAAUAACUAUACAUGUUGAGGGUUUAUUACUGAU
Molecule: long non-coding RNA, 2162 nt
Organism: Diorhabda carinulata
Lineage: Eukaryota; Metazoa; Arthropoda; Insecta; Coleoptera; Chrysomelidae
Exons: 3
Source: RefSeq, a predicted model, not a curated record